CAUUUGCAAGCAGGAAGUGUCAUCGUGGUUAUUUGUGUUUUCAAUCAAAUACAUGCAAGAUGAAAUGUGGGAUAUGCUGGGAUUAACUGCCUAUUAACUGGUUUUAAUUGCUGUUAACUAGCCAUUAACUGCCAUGGGUACCAAAAUUUAUGACCAUAAUACUGACAGUUGUUUCUGAGAAUGUAGUCCAUCAUGGAGUUCAAGUGAGAUAGUGUCAUAUUGGCUCUUCCUUAUCCAAUUCAUUUUUGCUCUCAGAUACUCAUUUACUGCUCUGGGAGAAAAUCUGGGGUUCUUAUUAUUUUGAUAGUGAGGUGAGAUUUGUUUGCUUAAAUGACAAUAAUAUGAGUAUCUCAAAAUAAAUAAAUAUAUAUAUAUAUUUGGCUCUGUACAUCUUCACUGGCAGUAAUAAAGCAUCAGAAACCAAACUUCGGCUGGCAAUUUUGAUGAUGCUGCAAGAAGAAGACAUAACUUGCUGUUCAGCUAUAUUGGUUCUGCAGUACUGAAAGCAGUAAAGAUUUGAUUGUGUCAGUAAAGUGAGCUGAUAGAUCUUAGAAGAUACAUAUGGGCAAAUUUUCAAAGUAAUACAGAGCCAGAGCCACAAGAAUCAGUACUAACGGGAAGUGAAAGACGGUACUGAAAACUUCAGCCACAGAGAGCAGAUCUGUGCGGCAGUGUGGUGACAGCUUGAAAUCACCCAUAUCACCACAAUUUAAGAAGGUGCUUUUCUUGGAAUGAUUUUUUGUAAGAGUAGCGUAGGUAGAUUGCUGUGAGCAGGAUGUGCAGAGGUGGCUGCUGUGGCACUGCUGCCCUUCCCGUGCCUGCAAGGGAGCAAAUCUCCCUCCCUGGGGCAGCAAGCAAAGGGCUCAGCAUCAGAAAAACUGCUGGAGGUGGCUGAAUUUGGAGCUAUGCACUGGAACAGACAGGGAGCCUCAUGUGUUGCCUGGUCUGAGUGGCCCAAUGUGACUCCACAUGCACUGCCUGUUUGCCUCCACCUAAUGAAGAAAGUUUCUAGUUGAGCUGCAUCAUCAGCCACCUCCUCCUGGACAUUAUAUAUACACUUUAUAUUCUGCAUGAGAAGCAGAGUAUUAAUAAUUCCUUGUUUCAUAUAUUAAAAUAUUUAUUCUUCAUGUUCUUUCUACCCUCUCUUUCUUAGAUAUGGCAGUGAGUGAUGAAAAGAUAUGUCCUACAUUAAGAACUUUUCCAAGAAAUCCAGAAAUCUAC
This 1221-nucleotide long non-coding RNA is filed under the name Coturnix japonica (Japanese quail). Its description in RNAcentral is "lncRNA (ENSCJPG00005019711.1)". The record is from RNAcentral. Lineage: Eukaryota; Metazoa; Chordata; Aves; Galliformes; Phasianidae.